AUUGAACGCUGGCGGCAGGCCUAACACAUGCAAGUCGAGCGGAUGAAGGGAGCUUGCUCCUGGAUUCAGCGGCGGACGGGUGAGUAAUGCCUAGGAAUCUGCCUGGUAGUGGGGGAUAACGUCCGGAAACGGGCGCUAAUACCGCAUACGUCCUGAGGGAGAAGUGGGGGAUCUUCGGACCUCACGCUAUCAGAUGAGCCUAGGUCGGAUUAGCUAGUUGGUGGGGUAAAGGCCUACCAAGGCGACGAUCCGUAACUGGUCUGAGAGGAUGAUCAGUCACACUGGAACUGAGACACGGUCCAGACUCCUACGGGAGGCAGCAGUGGGGAAUAUUGGACAAUGGGCGAAAGCCUGAUCCAGCCAUGCCGCGUGUGUGAAGAAGGUCUUCGGAUUGUAAAGCACUUUAAGUUGGGAGGAAGGGCAGUAAGUUAAUACCUUGCUGUUUUGACGUUACCAACAGAAUAAGCACCGGCUAACUUCGUG
This 483-nucleotide ribosomal RNA is filed under the name uncultured bacterium. Its description in RNAcentral is "partial 16S ribosomal RNA". It matches the Rfam family "Bacterial small subunit ribosomal RNA", at positions 30 to 507 of the family's 1533-position model. The record is from RNAcentral.